UGAUGCCUUUCGUUUGUGGUUGGAUUUUUCGGAUGGAUGGCCGACACGGGCAGGCCUAGCCUGCAACAAAGCCAGUGAGAAGGGAGGGGGAGGUGUCGUGUGAUGCGAGAGAGAAGAGAGACAGGAGGUGUCAUCCGAUGGCAGAGAGAAGAGGAGGGGUCGCGCAAUGCCAGAGAGAAGAGAAGAGAUAGGAUGACUCCUGGAAGGAAAAAUUGGAGGAGAAAGGGAGGGGUCAUUUUUCAUUCAAUCCCGAAGUUCGUAUUUCUCGGAUUGGUGUUGUGUACAGAUUACUGGUGGUCAGCUUGCUAAAGCAUUGUAUUUAGGUGAAGAAAGAUAGGUGCUUGGAUGGGAGUGGACGCAGGAGCAGGGAGUGUUGUGAGGAAGGGUAAGUAGUUGCAUCAUCUGCUGUGUUACAGUAGUGAAGUGAUGAGACGUCGGUAUGGCAUCUGCUAGCCUAGGGAAUGCUGGAGUUGGCAGUUCAAGGUCUGUUAGACAAUAGAUAUGGCAUAAGUGAUAAGCCAUUUUCCCUCUCUGCAAGUGUUAACCUCACAAUCAAAGGGGUUCACCAGCGUGGGUUCCGUCGGAUUCCAUAGACAAGGAUGUGGUGACCCGGAAAUCAUGCUUCUUCGGAUUUGAGAAAU
This is a non-coding RNA of Malus domestica (apple), 641 nucleotides long. The record is from RefSeq and is a predicted model, not a curated record. NCBI's taxonomy places the organism in Eukaryota, Viridiplantae, Streptophyta, Magnoliopsida, Rosales, Rosaceae.